GCUUUGAUAAUUAAGAUGGCGUUGCAGGUGUGUCUUCAGUCAGCACAGGAAGACGCCAACACAGUUCUUCAACCGCUUCAUUAGUUUCAAGUUUCUUUUGUUACCUGUAACUAUUAUUUAAUCAUCAUCACUGAUGACGUCAGACUGGAGCCAAUCUGCCACAAGCAACAUUUCAAACAUGCCUUGAAUGCGUCGCAGAUGUCUCUUUCGUCAGACUGGAGCCAAUUUGCCACAAGCAACAUUAUAAACAUGGAUGUGGAUUUUAACAUUGAGACCUACUGUACAAAAGCUGCUGCUACUCCUUCUUCAAACUAUUGCUCCUUACCCGAGGCCAAAAAUUUUAACUAUUGUUAUUAGGGGUGUCAUGAUUCUCCAAAUCCACGAUUCAUCUUUGAAUUGUUGUUUUUUUUCCUUUGGACGCACGCAAAUAGAGAAAGAGAGAGAGAGAGAAAGAAAGAAAAAUACUGGGAGAAUCACCGAUCCUGCUUUUGAUUGCUGCUUUUGGAAGCUAAUUUCGAUCGAUUUCCGAUUUAGAAUCAAAAUCGUGACAUCCCCAAUUGUUAUAUUCAUAUUGCUUUGUUUGCAUUUGUUUUGUAAAUACAAACUUCAGAACACUUUUAAAAAAAAAA
This is a long non-coding RNA of Sebastes umbrosus (honeycomb rockfish), 629 nucleotides long. RefSeq lists it as uncharacterized. The record is from RefSeq and is a predicted model, not a curated record. NCBI's taxonomy places the organism in Eukaryota, Metazoa, Chordata, Actinopteri, Perciformes, Sebastidae. The transcript has 3 exons.